This is a non-coding RNA of Schizosaccharomyces pombe (fission yeast), 1533 nucleotides long. NCBI's taxonomy places the organism in Eukaryota, Fungi, Ascomycota, Schizosaccharomycetes, Schizosaccharomycetales, Schizosaccharomycetaceae. The record is from the annotation of a GenBank genome assembly.
CGAGCUUGCAUAAUUGUACAAAUGCAUUACUUUCCAACACAGAAUUUUGAGAAAAUGACAGAGAAAACGUUUUCCAUGUCGACUGCCCCAGUUACUCGACCUAUGUCUUCGGUAGCUAGCUUCACCUCUUCGGCAGCAACUACGAUGUCUGAGCUUUUUUGCAGGGCCAAAGAAAGAUGGCUGGAACAACUUGAUAAACAUUGACGCUGACGUUCAUUCCAACCCAAAUUUGCUUGAAUUUUAUUAUUAGUAAGAGGGUUGACCAUACACUCGAAAGUAGAGGAAAGAGCUUGCAAGAAAUCAAUAAGUCCUUCUUUUGUUUUGCAAGAAACUGCAUGUAUUCUAUUUUCAGGAAUCAAAAAAUUUUUCUGAAGAUAAGCUUUAAUGGGCUUAAACAUAGUUGUGUAAUCCGAAACGCAGUCGACUUUGUUUAUUAGAAAAUGAAUAGGUUUUCUUUGACGAAGGCAAUCUUUAAUGGUUUCCAAAAUUUCUGACUGUUUUAAAGAUUCGGAAAAAGAAUGGUAGUUUAUGGGAAAAACAAAAAGUGUUAACUGGGAUUCUUCCGCCCUGGCUUUCGCAAUUUCAAUACCAAUUUUCUCAAUUUCCUGAACGUCUUCUCCUUUUCUGAGUCCUGCUGUAUCAGAAAGCAAUACUGGAAAUCCAUUUAUAUCUACUAGUACUUCGAUAGCAUCUCUUGUCGUUCCAGAUUGAGGACUUACAAUUGAUAUUCUGCGGUUAGCUAGUAAAUUAAUUAAACUCGACUUCCCAGCAUUGGAAGGCCCAAGAAUAGCCACAUUAAUACCUUUCCUCAGAACUUCUUUACAUUUUCCUCCCUCUAUAUGAGCGUCUAUUUCAUCUUUCAUUUCAUUCAAUUCCUCAAACAACUUGAUCGUUUCAAUAUCGUCCAGUUCAUGUUCUUCUGAAAAAUCAAUUGACGCUUCCAAAAAAGCACGAUAUUCGAUAAGCUUUUUUCUCCAUCGAAAACAAAUAUCAUAAAUGGAGCCAUGUGCUUCUUUAUUUGCACUGUAAAGUUGUUCGGCUGUCUGCGCAUUGAUAACGUCUAUUAAUCCUUCCAGUUGCGUCAAAUCUGCACGACCGUUAUAAAAUGCUCUUUCGGAAAAUUCUCCUGGCUUAGCAUAGCGAAUAUUCGGAAUUCCUGACUGCUUUAUGGCUUCAAGUGUUACAUCCACCACAGCUGUCCCUCCAUGUAAUUGCAAUUCAACAACAUCUUCACCUGUAAAAGAUGAAGGCUUUUUAAAAUAUAACAUCAAUGCUUUGUCAAUGACUUCAGAACGCACUGGGUGUUUGAUCGUCCUCAGGGACGCUAUACGAGGUUUUGGCACACUUCCUGCGAGUGUUUUUGCUACCUAAUAUUAGUUGUUAGUAAAUGAUCGGUUUGUUCUAGAUUUAUAGACAUUUGCCUUACCUUGCAUGCAUUUGGGCCAGAAAUACGAACAAUUGCAACAGCAGAUGUACCGGGAGGAGUUGAUAAUGCAUAUAUAGUAGGAAUUUGAUGAACGAAUCUUCUAAAGC